UCAAUUAUGUUCUAAAAUGCUCCAAAUAAACGGGUGCAUAAACUGGCGAUGAGUAGAAUAUUAAAAAGUUUUCCUUCACGCAUUCCAAAACGAACCACCAUGCUCCCUUUCUUCUUCCGUUGUGCUGCAGCCUUCAUGUUUUCUUACCUUGAAGUUGUGACCAUUGCUUCCCUCUACUUGCUUUUGAGACAACAUUGUCACUGUUAUCCUGUUAUCCACAAAGUAGUGUCUAAAUGCUGGAGAAUCUGAAAUACAUAAAAGGACCAUAAAGGAGACAAAACCAUAUCAAAACACAACAUCAGAAAAUGAAAGCCAAGGAAGACCCCAUAUCUAGAUUACUAAAAAUCACUUUUGAAAUGUGUUAUAUAAACAGACCCAACGAAAAAAAUGGAGGGAGGAUACUUGAUUCCCUAAUUUCAUUCAUGAUCCUAAGU
Molecule: long non-coding RNA, 434 nt
Filed under: Glycine max (soybean)
Lineage: Eukaryota; Viridiplantae; Streptophyta; Magnoliopsida; Fabales; Fabaceae
Description: long non-coding RNA (GMAX_LNC003129)
Source: RNAcentral